This 306-nucleotide unclassified non-coding RNA is filed under the name uncultured fungus. RNAcentral describes it as "partial contains small subunit ribosomal RNA, internal transcribed spacer 1, and 5.8S ribosomal RNA". The stretch from base 1 to 73 matches the Rfam family "Eukaryotic small subunit ribosomal RNA", at positions 1759 to 1831 of the family's 1831-position model. Lineage: Eukaryota; Fungi. The record is from RNAcentral.
GCAAACUUGGUCAUUUAGAGGAAGUAAAAGUCGUAACAAGGUAACCGUAGGUGAACCUGCGGUUGGAUCAUUAAUAAAUCUAAAGAGUUAACUUCUUAACGGAAGUUUAACGCUUUAAACCCUUGUGAACUGUAAAUGUCUCUGGUGGGUUAAAAAUGGGAGAUUAAUCUUCAGGGCUGAAAAGCUCACCCACUGUUUAAAUAUAAGCCUUUAGUAGAUAUAGUUAGUCUAAAGAAUGAAUUUAAUAAUUCUAAAACAACUUUUGACAACGGAUCUCUUGGCUCUCGCAUCGAUGAAGAACGCAGC